This 349-nucleotide long non-coding RNA is filed under the name Anas platyrhynchos platyrhynchos (common mallard). Its description in RNAcentral is "lncRNA (ENSAPLG00000022588.1)". The record is from RNAcentral. Lineage: Eukaryota; Metazoa; Chordata; Aves; Anseriformes; Anatidae.
AGCAAUAAACCAAAUGAACCAAGAGAUGUCCCCAGAUAAAUGUGUUCAGGAACAGCAGCAACUUCCUUUUGCCUCACCAAAGUGACUUAAGCCUCCAGCAGUAGUCUUUUGUGAGUCCCUGGCUGAAACUAAGACAUAACUAAUCUUCCCUCCGUUUGCAGAUGAAACGAUCUGCACUGCUACAUCAUUGAGCUUCCUGACUUCCUCUUCAUGUCCUACGGAAAGCCUUACUGUGACCAUCUGCACCCUGAAGGCACUUUGACUUGCCGUAGUGGCCUACUGUGAAGAGGCACCAGAAAAUCACAUUGGAGUGCUAAGGCUAAAGCUGAAAACUAAUUCCUGUUUCCUG